RNAcentral lists this ribosomal RNA (461 nucleotides) under uncultured bacterium. RNAcentral describes it as "bacterial SSU rRNA". It matches the Rfam family "Bacterial small subunit ribosomal RNA", at positions 29 to 482 of the family's 1533-position model. The record is from RNAcentral.
AACGAACGCUGGCGGCGCGCCUAAUACAUGCAAGUCGAGCGAGAAGACGUAGCAAUACGUUUGUAAAGCGGCGAACGGGUGAGGAAUACAUGGGUAACCUACCCUCGAGUGGGGAAUAACUAGCCGAAAGGUUAGCUAAUACCGCGUACGCUCCUUGGACUUCGGUUCAGGGAGGAAAGCGAUACCGUGGGUAUCGCGCUCUUGGAUGGGCUCAUGUCCUAUCAGCUUGUUGGUGAGGUAACGGCUCACCAAGGCUUCGACGGGUAGCUGGUCUGAGAGGACGACCAGCCACACUGGCACUGCGACACGGGCCAGACUCCUACGGGAGGCAGCAGUAAGGAAUAUUGCGCAAUGGGCGAAAGCCUGACGCAGCGACGCCGCGUGGGGGAGUGAAGGUCUUCGGAUUGUAAACCCCUUUCGGGAGGGAAGAUGGAACGAGCAAUCGUUCGGACGGUACCUCC